This 445-nucleotide ribosomal RNA is filed under the name uncultured bacterium. RNAcentral describes it as "partial 16S ribosomal RNA". It matches the Rfam family "Bacterial small subunit ribosomal RNA", at positions 354 to 796 of the family's 1533-position model. The record is from RNAcentral.
GUGAGGAAUAUUGGUCAAUGGGCGGGAGCCUGAACCAGCCAAGUCGCGUGAAGGAAGAAGGAUCUAUGGUUCGUAAACUUCUUUUGCAGGGGAAUAAAGUGCAGGACGUGUCCUGUUUUGUAUGUACCCUGAGAAUAAGGAUCGGCUAACUCCGUGCCAGCAGCCGCGGUAAUACGGAGGAUCCGAGCGUUAUCCGGAUUUAUUGGGUUUAAAGGGUGCGUAGGUUGUUUGAUAAGUCAGCGGUGAAAGUUUGCAGCUUAACUGUAAAAAUGCCGUUGAAACUGUCGGACUUGAGUGUAAAGGAGGUAGGCGGAAUGCGUGGUGUAGCGGUGAAAUGCAUAGAUAUCACGCAGAACUCCGAUUGCGAAGGCAGCUUACUAAGCUACAACUGACACUGAAGCACGAAAGCGUGGGGAUCAAACAGGAUUAGAAACCCGGGUAGUCC